GAUGAACGCUGGCGGCGUGCCUAAUACAUGCAAGUAGAACGCUGAAGGAGGAGCUUGCUCUUCUGGAUGAGUUGCGAACGGGUGAGUAACGCGUAGGUAACCUGCCUGGUAGCGGGGGAUAACUAUUGGAAACGAUAGCUAAUACCGCAUGACAACAGUUAUUGCAUGAUAACUGUUUAAAAGGGGCAACUGCUCCACUACCAGAUGGACCUGCGUUGUAUUAGCUAGUUGGUGAGGUAACGGCUCACCAAGGCGACGAUACAUAGCCGACCUGAGAGGGUGAUCGGCCACACGGGGACUGAGACACGGCCCAGACUCCUGCGGGAGGCAGCAGUAGGGAAUCUUCGGCAAUGGACGGAAGUCUGACCGAGCAACGCCGCGUGAGUGAAGAAGGUUUUCGGAUCGUAAAGCUCUGUUGUAAGAGAAGAACGAGUGUGAGAGUGGAAAGUUCACACUGUGACGGUAUCGUACCAGAAAGGGACGGCUAACUACGU
RNAcentral lists this ribosomal RNA (494 nucleotides) under uncultured bacterium. RNAcentral describes it as "partial 16S ribosomal RNA". It matches the Rfam family "Bacterial small subunit ribosomal RNA", at positions 28 to 506 of the family's 1533-position model. The record is from RNAcentral.